Molecule: long non-coding RNA, 621 nt
Organism: Notolabrus celidotus (New Zealand spotty)
Lineage: Eukaryota; Metazoa; Chordata; Actinopteri; Labriformes; Labridae
Exons: 3
Source: RefSeq, a predicted model, not a curated record
CUAUUUUGAGGUUCCUCUGCACAUCUGCCAUCAAACAUGCCAAGGUCACCGCCUCUGCAAACCUACAGGGACAUCAAUACAAGAGGGGGACCUGCAGAUGUUAGGAGGGCCGGAUGCACUCACUCACACAGACGGGCCAAAAUACUUUCAGCCAGGCUCCAGUGUGGAGAAGGUGCAUGUACUGCAGCAGGAAGGUGUGCAGGAUGUAAUCCUCAUCUUCACUAAGAGUUAUCAAUGUACAGGCAACUUCACUCCCUGCCCUGGUGUUUCCCCACUGUGGUGAUUGUCGUCCCCGCCCCUCAUUGUUUCCACCUGUGUCCCAGUACCUCGUGUAUAAAUAUAUAUAAUAAAUAUAUUAUAUAUUUUAUAUAUUUAAAAAAAAAUGGCAUUGUAACAUGUAUAUAAGUCUGCAUCUCCCUUUGUCAUGUGCCAGAUUGUCGUGUCUUGUACAGUCGUAUCCACAUUGUCAAGUCUUUCUGUCUAGGUCAGUGAAAUUAGUCCUUAGAGGUUUUCUAGCGCUGCUGGGUUUUGUGUUUCUGUCUUUAGAGUUUUUCCAGCGUUGCUGUGAUUUUUCGUUUGUACUUUGUUUUAAUUACUCUAAUAAAGAGCCUUUUUUUGUGA